AGUCACUGACAUUAGAUACCCGUGUAGUCCCAGCCGUAAACUAUGCGCGUUAGGUGUAUCGGUGACCACGAGUUACCGAGGUGCCGAAGGGAAACCGUGAAACGUGCCGCCUGGGAAGUACGGUCGCAAGGCUGAAACUUAAAGGAAUUGGCGGGGGAGCACCGCAACGGGAGGAGCGUGCGGUUUAAUUGGAUUCAACACCGUAAACUCACCAGGGAAGACUGUUACAUGAAAGCCGAGUUGAAGACUCUGCUAGAUUUUCAG
RNAcentral lists this ribosomal RNA (264 nucleotides) under uncultured archaeon. Its description in RNAcentral is "partial 16S ribosomal RNA". It matches the Rfam family "Archaeal small subunit ribosomal RNA", at positions 717 to 982 of the family's 1478-position model. The record is from RNAcentral.